Molecule: ribosomal RNA, 374 nt
Filed under: uncultured bacterium
Lineage: Bacteria
Description: bacterial SSU rRNA
Rfam family: Bacterial small subunit ribosomal RNA
Source: RNAcentral
AACGUAGGACGCGAGCGUUAUCCGGAGUUACUGGGCGUAAAGGGUGGGCAGGCGGCCGUGUCAGAUGGGUGUGAAAUCUCCCGGCUCAACCGGGAGGGGCCACUCGUGACUGCACGGCUGGAGGGCAGCAGAGGCGCGUGGAAUUCCGGGUGGAGUGGUGAAAUGCGUAGAGAUCCGGAGGAACACCAGAGGCGAAGGCGGCGCGCUGGGCUGCACCUGACGCUGAACCACGAAAGCCAGGGUAGCGAACGGGAUUAGAAACCCCGGUAGUCCUGGCCGUAAACGAUGUCAACUGGGCCUUGGUAUGGAAGCAUAUCAGGGCCGGAGCGAACGCGCUAAGUUGACCGCCUGGGGAGUACGACCGCAAGGUUAAA